UUUAAGGUGGUAUGGGAGUCUAAAAUAAAAAUGAUAGAAUUUGUUCAUACUUUGCCAAAACAUAGUAUCUAUUGAUAUAUGAUGAAAAAUAUAAUAAAAAUGAUAGGUCACCGCGCAUUUUCUCAAGCUACAGGACGUGACAAAAUGACACAUUUUGUAUGGACUAUACAGGAAAAAACACCAUUUUGUGAUUAGAAAUUAAACAAAAUGAUAGAAUUGUAAAAUACUUAAGGAAAAGAUAGCUUUCAGAAAUUGCUUUGAGAAUAUCAAAAGAAAAGAUAGGGUCACCGUACGUUUUUUCCGGCUAAAAUACAAAAUAGGAAAAUACCAUGUAGAAUCCUUCAGAAAAUGCACUGCUUUAGAGUUACGUCCCCUUAAAAUGCCAUUAUUAAAAAAAUAUAAAAACAACCAAAAAUAAUCAACAUUUGCAAAAAUAUUAAUAUUUAUAAGUUAUAUUCUUAUAAAUUGGUUCUUUUAAAUGAAUAUUCACAUUAAAUAUCUGCAUUCCUGCAUCAAAUUUUGCUAACUUGUUAGAAAAUCUGGACCUUUGGUUCUCUGUUUUUUACAAUCCAAGAUGGAGGAAGACACCCAUACCACCUUAA
This 602-nucleotide long non-coding RNA is filed under the name Mytilus galloprovincialis (Mediterranean mussel). Lineage: Eukaryota; Metazoa; Mollusca; Bivalvia; Mytilida; Mytilidae. The record is from RNAcentral.